RNAcentral lists this ribosomal RNA (531 nucleotides) under fungal sp. tuti-12. Its description in RNAcentral is "eukaryotic LSU rRNA". The stretch from base 195 to 349 matches the Rfam family "5.8S ribosomal RNA". Lineage: Eukaryota; Fungi. The record is from RNAcentral.
AACGAGUUAGGGUCUCUCUGGCCCGACCUCCCAACCCUUUGUCUACUUGACCAUCGUUGCUUCGGCGAGCCCGUCCUCACGGACCGCCGGAGGGAUCUUUACUGGCCCUCUGGUCCGCGCUCGUCGGUAGCCCAACCUUUAAAAUCUUUAACUAAACGUGCCUUAAUCUAAGUACAAUUAUUAAAUAAAAGCAAAACUUUCAACAACGGAUCUCUUGGUUCUGGCAUCGAUGAAGAACGCAGCGAAAUGCGAUAAGUAAUGCGAAUUGCAGAAUUCCAGUGAGUCAUCGAAUCUUUGAACGCACAUUGCGCCCUUUGGUAUUCCGAAGGGCAUGCCUGUUCGAGCGUCAUUAUCACCCCUCAAGCCCUCGGCUUGGUGUUGGACGGUUUGGUGGAGGCCCCCUCGGGGGCUCCUGCCCCUCCCAAAGACAAUGACGGCGGCCUCGUUGGACCCCCGGUACACUGAGUUCUUCACGGGACACGUAUCGGACACAUGGGUUUACGGGACACGGUCUGCCUCCCCUCAGGGAGA